CACAGUGCUUCUGAAGCAGCGUGUUGAUCUUUGACAAACGCACCGGAGCGUCAGCUUCAAGCGGACCAUCAGUACCUCUCACAUCUAAAGCUGAUCAGCAGGAGGAGAAGAGUCUGACGGAGCAGCAGAGGAACAUUUUCAGCUACUUGGAUUCAGCUCAGCCACUACAGAGAAAACAAUGAGCUCAACACAGAAGGACCAACAUGGAGCGAGAAGUCAGCGCUCUCAGGAGGCCGACAAACCUCACAGAAGAAAGAGAGAGAAAACAUACACCUGUGACGAGUGUGGGAAGGAUUUUACUGGGAAGGCUGAACUAAAACGUCAUCAGGUUAUCCACACUGGAGAGAGACCGUUCAGCUGUGACUUGUGUGGAAAGUCUUUUUCCUGGAAGCGUUCCCUAAAAAGACACCAACUCAUCCACAGUGGAGUUAAAGCGUACAGCUGUGAUCAGUGUGGCAGAGCUUUUACUCACAGUAGCAGCUUACAGAAGCAUCUAGUUACCCACUCUGGAAUUAAGGCAUACAGCUGUGAUGAGUGUGGGAAGGAUUUUACUGGGAAGGCUUCCCUAAAAGAGCACCAACUCAUCCACAGUGGAGUUAAAGCGUACAGCUGUGAUCAGUGUGGCAGAGCUUUUACUCAAAGUAACCACUUACAGAAUCAUCUAGUUACCCACUCUGGAAUUAAGGCAUACAGCUGUGACAUCUGUGGAAAAACUUUCAGCCAGAGAGGUACCCGAAAUACACACCUACGCAUUCACACCAGACAUGAUGUGUACUGCUGUGAACAGUGUGGCAAAUACUUUGCUACAGACACACAGUUACAACAACACAUGUUUACCCACACUGAGGGACGACCUUAUAAAUGUGACCUGUGUGAGAAGACUUUUAAAUCUCCACAUCACCUGAGACGACACCAACAGAUCCACACCAGAAAGAGACUCUACAAGUGCAGUUACUGUGAGGUUUGUAUUUAUAUUGUUAUCUUGUCAUUUUAGCCUGACUGUUUGGAACAAC
Molecule: long non-coding RNA, 1013 nt
Organism: Pelmatolapia mariae (spotted tilapia)
Lineage: Eukaryota; Metazoa; Chordata; Actinopteri; Cichliformes; Cichlidae
Exons: 3
Source: RefSeq, a predicted model, not a curated record